CCCAAGUGAUCUUAACUGAGAAAAACCUUUCACACACACACACACACACACACAUACAAAGCGCCUGGGGGGCACUGCGACAAAACCUGACCGCUAGCCAGGUGGAGGCCUCCGAGGCCGAGUGCCGUGUCGCGCCGUGCCUGGGAGUGCAGGUGGCUCUGGCUCCCAAGUGGAAGAGUAGUCCGAAGAGUGGCCUAUCCUGUGGCUUUGUCUGGGGUUUGGUGAUGACAAAAAUUAAUGAAUAUCGACAACAGGAGGAGAAAGAGGUGGACCGCAGGCUGAGGAACUGAGGCACUGAGGCUAGGCGAAAGACAAACAAAGGAGGGCCCAAUCCGGGAGACAAUUCAAUCUUCAAUUCCCAAUGCAAGCCUGCAUGCAGUCGCACCUUUGGAAUUUAAUUUGAUUUGUUUACAAUAUAAUAGGUCGAAAGAAGGAAACAAAUCUCGUUGAAUGGAUGAAUGGAUGGAUGGAAAGAAAGAAGGAAAAGAGCAUAUUAAUCAUUUUCCACACAGCGGGAAAGUCAGUCAUGGAAAAUCAAAGAGACGCAAUCGCAAUCAGUGACAAUGAUUAACACAUUUCCAUGGACCAUAAAACGAAACGUCUCUAGCAAAUUGUUUUUAAUGCACAUGGCAUACAUCCAUAUGAACACGGAAAAUUAUUUAGAGACCAACACUAAUCUCUAAACGACGGGCCUGCCUGCAAAAUAGAGAGUUCAAUGUACGGACAGUCGAACACGGACAACGGGCAGCUGACAGUAGAGCGAACGGACAGAGAACGAACAGCAGGAAACGAGCAGGGAACGGUAGCAAGCGGAACAUCGGACAUAAGCAAAGAGGCAUUUUGGCGGCACACCUCCUCUUCCAGUCAUCCGCCAUUCCUCCAGUUAUGGGUGGAUGGGUGGUGCCACGGGAAGGGGCUUGGUCAAAGAAUUGCAUGCUAAAACAAAGGAAAGACCGAAACCUACAAAAAAGAAAGGUGCGCUCACCUACAGUGCCAGCCGAAGCAUGGAAUACCCUUUGAAAAGCCAUGUUAAAAUAUUUUUGACUAAUUCUGAAAGUAAAUUCAAGUAUU
Long non-coding RNA from Drosophila obscura, 1071 nucleotides. RefSeq lists it as uncharacterized. Lineage: Eukaryota; Metazoa; Arthropoda; Insecta; Diptera; Drosophilidae. The record is from RefSeq and is a predicted model, not a curated record. The transcript has 3 exons.